GAUUCUGAUGGCAGUUUAGGACUUUGGCAAGAAUUUCAACAGCGGCAACAUUUUUUGUGUUAUUCAUCUUAAGGUAAAUCAAUUUCUCUCUCCGUGUACUCUUGUGUUAUUGUUCACGCUUUACCUUUAGAUAGGGAAAUUAUUAUUAGAUAUUUCUGUCUUGUGAACCGUUGGACCGUUUUUUGUUGUUGAUUUCUUCUAACGAAACUGAUGAGCUUGUUCAGAUUGUAAAAUCUAGAGAAAAUGAGUCAUGUGCGGGUUCUAAUUAUAACAAUGAAUUAAACCUAAUGAUCAAUCUCUCAUUUAUGCACCUUUCUUAUUGUGUCUACAAAAGGGUUUGCACAGUGCACGAGACUCGAUUUCGAAUGUGCCACUAGUUAUUAGGUAUAGUAUUCUAAAAAUUGGGAGUAUGUCCUUUACUUUCAAAAUCCACAAUGUGCUAACUAUUCAUGGAGUGAGUGAUGGUGGGUGGAGUACAUGAAUAUUUGGCUUAGAUCUAAUUUAUUCUCCUACAUAUUUAUAUGAUUGUGUCUUUUAGAAUUGUUGGAGAAAAAGAGUCGCAAAAUAUAAGAAAUGUAUGACAAAUUCGAACUUGUAUUUAGACUCCAUCUAAUCUAGCCCCUCCUGGCCUGAGUGUGGAUAAUUUGCAAAGAGAGGUGAAGCUGAAGGAUCAUGGUGAUUGAUACCGUCGAAGCUUCCUCUCCGCCGUUUCACACUGGACAAUCUGGUCACUCACGCCACUUCUAUCUAGCAGUUGACAGGCUUCAAUUCAAAAUGCAAACCAUGCUUGAUCUGCUUGACUUGGUGGGUCGGCGUCAAUACUUCCCCAUUGUUGUUUGUUGCAGCAGCCGCGAUGACCUCGACUCUCUCUGCUCUUCUCUUUCCCCUCUACCUUUCCUUUCUUAUUCAGCUUUGUACAGUGACCUUGCUGAAGAUGAGCGUGCUUUUAUUUUAGACAAAUUUCGCCAAGUGGCAACAAGGUGGAACCAGAUUAAUCAUACUGGAACAGGAAAUGAGGAUGAGGUGGGGAAGGAUGAUGAUAGGUCUCAUGUGAUCAUCGUAACAGACACUUGCCUUCCUCUCCUUGCUUUAGGAGAGUCUCCCCUCAAUGGUCAUCUUCUGAUUAACUACGACAUACCAGCAAAGAAGGUCCUUUUCCCCUAUACUCUGUAUUUGCUAUGUCUGCUUACGUUUAUAUGUGCCAUGCCCAUACAGCCAUACCUACUAUCUUCGUGCAAAAGUCUUUUGUCGUAGUGUUUUUUCAUACUUAGUUUUCCUUCUAGUGAAAUUGGUCUCAUCAAACUAUUUCUCAGUUGUGAUUUGUGGUGUCAGCUUCACUUCCCUGACAUAUUAUUCCUUAAGUGGAAGAUCAUGUGGUAAUUAGCUAUUUCAGUUUUCAAAUAAUUGUCUACCUAUACCAAACAGCAAAUAGUGAUUGCUAACUAAUAUUUUGUUUCUUUUGCUCUCGAGAUUGUAAAACUUGUUCUUUGUGUGCACUGCGCCCUUGUUACUUACCAGUGAGAAGGGUGGUGGUGCCCUUUUCCUUUAUAUUUUUGGAAUUUGGUUUCAAGUUAUACUUUUGUUUCUCAAUAAUCAUUCAGCUACAUAUUACCUUAACUUGUCAACAUUGAUGAAGAAUGAUGGUUGGUUGGUUUAUGUGUUGUGAAAGUGGGGCAUGUAUACCUAUUAUUGUUACCUGUCACCUAAUGUAGUCUUUCUAUGUUUCUCAUCAAUUUUUAUGUUUACUACAGGAAACAUAUGGGAGGCGUAUGGCAACUUGUUUAACAGCUGGUCCUGUCUUUGAUACGCAGUCCUAUGUUUUUUAAGAUAUAGUUUGGGGUUUCCCUGUGUUGCUAAGAUUCCUCACUAUUGUGCAGAUGGAAUUGUCAUCAAUAUGGUUGUUGGUGGGGAAGUGGUCACCUUAAAGAGUAUUGAAGAAAGCAGCGGUAUUAUCAUGCAGGAGAUGCCAAUGCGAGUAAGUUGCUAAGUUUCCAUACCAGGAUCACAUUGCAUUCAUCACAUUUGAAUUUGUGGAAGGUCACAUUUGAAUGUUCCAAAAUCGCAUUCUACAUUUGAAUUUGCCUAUUCACAUAUACAUGUCCACUUUCUUUUCAGUUUUGUUUUAUUAGAUGAAACCCUUUUUUUUCCUUUUAAUCCCAUGUUGUUCAAGACAUAACAUUAUAAAUGAACUCAUUUGCAAGAAAAUACAAGUAACACCUGUUGCGGAAAAGAUUCUACCAUGCCGUUUUGGGUGGUUUGGCCAUACGAGAAAGCUAAGAAGUUCUAGUAAGAAGAGUAACCAUAUAAUUGAAAGUAAAUGAAGACCAAGAAAAUCUUGUAGUGAAGCCACUUAGAUUUAAGUAAGUUUCUGAAGACACCCAUGUAAUUAACCUACCUAAUUCAAAAAAAAGGCUUUUGUUGUUGUUAUUGUUUUAUUGAUCUAUGUUUUCAGUUAUUA
This 2458-nucleotide long non-coding RNA is filed under the name Lupinus mutabilis. Its description in RNAcentral is "partial ncRNA". Lineage: Eukaryota; Viridiplantae; Streptophyta; Magnoliopsida; Fabales; Fabaceae. The record is from RNAcentral.